CUUAACACAUGCAAGUCGAACGAUGAUCCCAGCUUGCUGGGGGAUUAGUGGCGAACGGGUGAGUAACACGUGAGUAACCUGCCCUUGACUCUGGGAUAAGCCUGGGAAACUGGGUCUAAUACCGGAUAUGACCGCUCUGACGCAUGUCAGGUGGUGGAAAGCUUUUGUGGUUUUGGAUGGACUCGCGGCCUAUCAGCUUGUUGGUGGGGUAAUGGCCUACCAAGGCGACGACGGGUAGCCGGCCUGAGAGGGUGACCGGCCACACUGGGACUGAGACACGGCCCAGACUCCUACGGGAGGCAGCAGUGGGGAAUAUUGCACAAUGGGCGCAAGCCUGAUGCAGCGACGCCGCGUGAGGGAUGACGGCCUUCGGGUUGUAAACCUCUUUCAGUAGGGAAGAAGCGAAAGUGACGGUACCUGCAGAAGAAGCGCCGGCUAACUACGUGCCAGCAGCCGCGGUAAUACGUAGGGCGCAAGCGUUAUCCGGAAUUAUUGGGCGUAAAGAGCUCGUAGGCGGUUUGUCGCGUCUGCUGUGAAAGACCGGGGCUCAACUCCGGUUCUGCAGUGGGUACGGGCAGACUAGAGUGAUGUAGGGGAGACUGGAAUUCCUGGUGUAGCGGUGAAAUGCGCAGAUAUCAGGAGGAACACCGAUGGCGAAGGCAGGUCUCUGGGCAUUAACUGACGCUGAGGAGCGAAAGCAUGGGGAGCGAACAGGAUUAGAUACCCUGGUAGUCCAUGCCGUAAACGUUGGGCACUAGGUGUGGGGGACAUUCCACGUUUUCCGCGCCGUAGCUAACGCAUUAAGUGCCCCGCCUGGGGAGUACGGCCGCAAGGCUAAAACUCAAAGGAAUUGACGGGGGCCCGCACAAGCGGCGGAGCAUGCGGAUUAAUUCGAUGCAACGCGAAGAACCUUACCAAGGCUUGACAUGAACCGGAAAGACCUGGAAACAGGUGCCCCGCUUGCGGUCGGUUUACAGGUG
Molecule: ribosomal RNA, 980 nt
Filed under: Paenarthrobacter nitroguajacolicus
Lineage: Bacteria; Bacillati; Actinomycetota; Actinomycetes; Micrococcales; Micrococcaceae
Description: bacterial SSU rRNA
Rfam family: Bacterial small subunit ribosomal RNA
Source: RNAcentral